Molecule: ribosomal RNA, 326 nt
Filed under: uncultured Clostridiaceae bacterium
Lineage: Bacteria; Bacillati; Bacillota; Clostridia; Eubacteriales; Clostridiaceae
Description: bacterial SSU rRNA
Rfam family: Bacterial small subunit ribosomal RNA
Source: RNAcentral
GAUGAACGCUGGCGGCGUGCUUAACACAUGCAAGUCGAACGAGGAAUACCGAUGAAGUUUUCGGAUGGAUUCAGUAUUCCGAGUGGCGGACGGGUGAGUAACGCGUGGGUAACCUGCCCUUAGCAGAGGGAUAGCCAUUGGAAACGAUGAUUAAAACCUCAUAAUGCUGUUGAAACACAUGUUUCGGCAGCCAAAGAUUUAUCGGCUAAGGAUGGGCCUGCGUCUGAUUAACUAGUUGGUGGGGUAACGGCUCACCAAGGUGACGAUCAGUAGCCGACCUGAGAGGGUGAUCGGCCACAUUGGAACUGAGACACGGUCCAAACUUC